RNAcentral lists this ribosomal RNA (576 nucleotides) under uncultured Serratia sp. Its description in RNAcentral is "bacterial SSU rRNA". It matches the Rfam family "Bacterial small subunit ribosomal RNA", at positions 28 to 593 of the family's 1533-position model. The record is from RNAcentral. Lineage: Bacteria; Pseudomonadati; Pseudomonadota; Gammaproteobacteria; Enterobacterales; Yersiniaceae.
AUUGAACGCUGGCGGCAGGCUUAACACAUGCAAGUCGAGCGGUAGCACAAGAGAGCUUGCUCUCUGGGUGACGAGCGGCGGACGGGUGAGUAAUGUCUGGGAAACUGCCUGAUGGAGGGGGAUAACUACUGGUAACGGUAGCUAAUACCGCAUAACGUCGCAAGACCAAAGAGGGGGACCUUCGGGCCUCUUGCCAUCAGAUGUGCCCAGAUGGGAUUAGCUAGUAGGUGGGGUAAUGGCUCACCUAGGCGACGAUCCCUAGCUGGUCUGAGAGGAUGACCAGCCACACUGGAACUGAGACACGGUCCAGACUCCUACGGGAGGCAGCAGUGGGGAAUAUUGCACAAUGGGCGCAAGCCUGAUGCAGCCAUGCCGCGUGUGUGAAGAAGGCCUUCGGGUUGUAAAGCACUUUCAGCGAGGAGGAAGGUGGUGAGCUUAAUACGCUCAUCAAUUGACGUUACUCGCAGAAGAAGCACCGGCUAACUCCGUGCCAGCAGCCGCGGUAAUACGGAGGGUGCAAGCGUUAAUCGGAAUUACUGGGCGUAAAGCGCACGCAGGCGGUUUGUUAAGUCAGAU